RNAcentral lists this ribosomal RNA (449 nucleotides) under uncultured bacterium. Its description in RNAcentral is "partial 16S ribosomal RNA". It matches the Rfam family "Bacterial small subunit ribosomal RNA", at positions 329 to 792 of the family's 1533-position model. The record is from RNAcentral.
UACCAGACUCCUACGGGAGGCAGCAGUGGGGAAUAUUGGGCAAUGGAGGAAACUCUUACCCAGCAAUGCCGCGUGAAUGAAGAAGGUCUUCGGAUUGUAAAGUUCUUUAAUUGGGGACGAAAAAAAUGACGGUACCCAAGGAAUAAGCCCCGGCUAACUACGUGCCAGCAGCCGCGGUAAUACGUAGGGGGCAAGCGUUAUCCGGAUUUACUGGGUGUAAAGGGAGCGUAGACGGUGAGACAAGUCUGAAGUGAAAGCCCGGGGCUCAACCCCGGGACUGCUUUGGAAACUGCCUGACUGGAGUGCUGGAGAGGCAAGCGGAAUUCCUAGUGUAGCGGUGAAAUGCGUAGAUAUUAGGAAGAACACCAGUGGCGAAGGCGGCUUGCUGGACAGUAACUGACGUUGAGGCUCGAAAGCGUGGGGAGCAAACAGGAUUAGAUACCCUAGUA